This 69-nucleotide transfer RNA is filed under the name Blaptica dubia (Argentinian wood cockroach). RNAcentral's name for it is "tRNA-Gln". The record is from RNAcentral. Lineage: Eukaryota; Metazoa; Arthropoda; Insecta; Blattodea; Blaberidae.
UACAUUUUAGUGUAGGAUGCAUAUAAGUUUUUGAUAUUUAUGGGGAUAGUUUAAGUCUAUUAGGUGUAA